RNAcentral lists this ribosomal RNA (253 nucleotides) under uncultured bacterium. Its description in RNAcentral is "partial 16S ribosomal RNA". It matches the Rfam family "Bacterial small subunit ribosomal RNA", at positions 524 to 776 of the family's 1533-position model. The record is from RNAcentral.
UACGGAGGGUGCAAGCGUUGUCCGGAUUUAUUGGGUUUAAAGGGUGCGUAGGCGGCCCGUUAAGUCAGUGGUGAGAGCCUCCAGCUCAACUGGAGAACUGCCAUUGAUACUGACGGGCUUGAGUACAGACGAGGUUGGCGGAAUUGAUUGUGUAGCGGUGAAAUGCAUAGAUACAAUCAAGAACUCCGAUUGCGUAGGCAGCUAACUAGGCUGUAACUGACGCUGAGGCACGAAAGCGUGGGGAGCGAACAGG